UACGAAGGGGGCUAGCGUUGUCCGGAAUCAUUGGGCGUAAAGAGCUCGUAGGUGGUCUGUUACGUCUGCUGUGAAAUCCUAGGGCUUAACCCUGGGCCUGCAGUGGAUACGGGCAGACUAGAGGUAGGUAGGGGAGAAUGGAAUUCCCGGUGUAGCGGUGAAAUGCGCAGAUAUCGGGAGGAACACCGGUGGCGAAGGCGGCUUACUGGGUCUUUUCUGACGCUGAUGCACGAAAGCUAGGGGAGCAAACGGG
This 253-nucleotide ribosomal RNA is filed under the name uncultured bacterium. Its description in RNAcentral is "partial 16S ribosomal RNA". It matches the Rfam family "Bacterial small subunit ribosomal RNA", at positions 524 to 776 of the family's 1533-position model. The record is from RNAcentral.